Oncorhynchus masou masou (cherry salmon) is the source of this 735-nucleotide long non-coding RNA. RefSeq lists it as uncharacterized. The record is from RefSeq and is a predicted model, not a curated record. NCBI's taxonomy places the organism in Eukaryota, Metazoa, Chordata, Actinopteri, Salmoniformes, Salmonidae. The transcript is spliced from 6 exons.
UGACAGUCAGUUCUACAGUCAUCAGAGAGAGAGACUCAGUUCAGCUGAGCUGUCAGACUCCCCUAUCUGGCUCUGUGUCUCAGUGUUACUUCUACACAGAGGGGAGAGAUCCUAAACCCUCACCCUGUACGCAAUCACUCACGGGGACUGAGCUGCUCUCGUGGGCAUUUCAAAGUUCAUCAGCUGAGAUCAAACUGAGAUGUUUUUACACUGUAGAAUCUCACUAUCCAUCGAUGCACAGUGAUUCAGUCUCUGUUACUAUUCUUGAUCCAAAACCAGACAUUAGAGUCAAUAUUGAUGAGGACUUCAACAUCAUCUGUUUGAUUCCUGGAUCCGUCAGUCCUGACUCCACCUGUAACCUGUAUGUUGGAGAGGAGAGUCAGCCGAGAGAAAAGCCAUCUCAGCAUCCGGACAGCAGUUCUGUCAAUUCACUCCAAAACAUAGUGAUGUGAUCAGUCGUCUACAGUCAGUGAGGCGUAAGGAGGUGAGCUGUGACUACAGAGUGAGCUCAGGACCAAACUCUCUCUCUCCACGCAGUUAUGGGCACAGCUUUGCACAUCUGGUGGGAGUUCACAUCAGUGAUCCAACAACUAUACAGACACCUUCUAUAGCAGUGGGUUUGACUCCAGGUCCUGGGUCAUUUUUGCCGCCCAGCACGACAGUGAGUCCUACAGAAGUUUUGACUGUUACUUCUACUUUGACCACAGUGACACCAACUACCAGUUUGACCUUUCC